GACCCGAAACCGGGCGACCUACCCAUGAGCAGGAUGAAGCGAAAGUAAAACUUCGUGAGAUCCGAACCCUCGAGAGUUGAACUGAUCGGCGAUGACUUGUGGGUAGCGGUGAAAUACCAUUCGAGCACGGAGAUAGCUGGUUCACCCCAAAAUAGCUUUAGGGCUAGCAUCAAGGUGAGAGAUACGGAGGUAGAGAACUGAAUGUCCUUGGGGGUAUGGCACCUACCGAAGACUAUCAAACUCCGAAUGCCGUC
RNAcentral lists this ribosomal RNA (254 nucleotides) under Clostridioides difficile. RNAcentral describes it as "partial 23S ribosomal RNA". It matches the Rfam family "Bacterial large subunit ribosomal RNA", at positions 712 to 967 of the family's 2925-position model. The record is from RNAcentral. Lineage: Bacteria; Bacillati; Bacillota; Clostridia; Peptostreptococcales; Peptostreptococcaceae.